Molecule: ribosomal RNA, 431 nt
Filed under: uncultured bacterium
Lineage: Bacteria
Description: bacterial SSU rRNA
Rfam family: Bacterial small subunit ribosomal RNA
Source: RNAcentral
UGAGGAAUAUUGGUCAAUGGUCGGGAGACUGAACCAGCCAAGCCGCGUGAGGGAUGAAGGUACAGAGUAUCGUAAACCUCUUUUGUCAGGGAACAAAAGGCGCCACGCGUGGCGCUCCGAGUGUACCUGAAGAAAAAGCAUCGGCUAACUCCGUGCCAGCAGCCGCGGUAAUACGGAGGAUGCGAGCGUUAUCCGGAUUUAUUGGGUUUAAAGGGUGCGUAGGCGGCGAGUUAAGUCAGCGGUAAAAGCCCGGGGCUCAACCCGCCGCCGUCGAACUAGCUGCUUGAGUUGGAGAGAAGUAAUGCGGAAGAUGCGUGGUGUAGCGGUGAAAUGCAUAGAUAUCACGCAGAACUCCGAUUGCGAAGGCAGCAUACCGGUGUGCCACUGACGCUGAGGCUCGAAGGUGCGGGUAUCGAACAGGAUUAGAUACC